Molecule: unclassified non-coding RNA, 2145 nt
Organism: Leptinotarsa decemlineata (Colorado potato beetle)
Lineage: Eukaryota; Metazoa; Arthropoda; Insecta; Coleoptera; Chrysomelidae
Source: RefSeq, a predicted model, not a curated record
AAUGUCAGAAGAAUGUGAAAUCUGACAGGAAAACAAAUAGAUUUGUUGAUAUUUUGAAAGAAUAUUGAUUACGGCAAACUGAAUUCGUCUAAUUUUUUUUAGUCUUAUGAUUUUUUUAAUUAUCAUUAACGUAUGGUGAAAUUAUACUGUCAGCAUGUCUUUUGGUAGAGGAAACAGCGAUUUCCCGUUGGAAGCUUUGAAAGUACAUGGCCCCAACUAUUUAAAACACGCUUUAACAAGUUGUACGGACCCUUUGAAGGCUAUAGAAGAGUUUCAGGUUACCAAUGGCAUUCUGCUUCCCUCCCUGCGUCCAAUGUUACCCCUUUUGGACCUUCACGGUGUCCGUCGACUAGAUUUUCACAUGUCCGUUGUGGAGGAGCUGCGAGAAAAACUCAUAAACCACAUCAAUGAAAUCGGCAAGCAAGAAGGCAAAGAACGGGACCACAAACUCAAAGAGCUCCUAGUGAAAAGCUUCCCCGUGGUCAAAGUGAAAGCCAUGAGGCCUAUCGUGAUGGCUAUUUUGAAGAACACUCCCCAAAUUGAUGAUCACUAUUUGAAGGUGUUAGUGAGAGAUAGGGAGCUGUAUAACGACACUGACACUGAGGUGAAGAGGCAGAUUUGGAAGGACAACCAGUCAUUGUUCGGUGACGAGGUAUCUCCGUUGUUGAGUCAGUACAUUAACGAGAAGGAGAAUGUACUGUUUGACCAUACGAACCUGAGUACGCAGUUUUUUGGGCCUUCGCCGAAGGUUCGCAGACAGGGUGGGGUGGUCCAGAAAUUAGCGCACAUGAUUGGCAGCAGCGUCAAACUCUAUGACAUGGUACUCCAGUUUCUCAGAACUCUCUUUCUGCGUACUCGGAUCGUGCAUUACUGUACGCUCAGAGCAGAACUGCUAAUGGCACUCCAUGAUCUGGAAGUUCAAGAUAUUAUUUCCGUUGAUCCUUGCCACAAGUUCACUUGGUGUCUAGAUGCGUGUAUACGAGAGAAGAGUGUCGAUAUCAAGAGGUCCAGAGAACUUCAAGGGUUCUUGGACAACGUAAAGAAGGGUCAGGAACAGGUCCUCGGGGACCUUUCAAUGACUUUGGGUGAUCCUUAUGCUAUAAAUUUCCUAGCCACCUCGGCCAUCAAAAUCCUCCAACAUCUCAUUCACAACGAAUCCCUAGCCAGGGAAAACACCAUCCUGAUCCUUCUCUUGCGGAUGUUGGCCCUAGGACUGAGCGCCUGGGUGAUGAUCGACUCGCAAGACUUCAAGGAACCCAAGCUAGACAGUCAAGUUGUGACGAAGUUUCUGCCGGCUCUAAUGUCGCUCAUGGUGGACGAUCAAGUGCGUCAGCUGUCGGGAAAGCUCCCGCACGACGAGAGAGAGGCUGCCAUUACUGUCAUCGAGCAUUCGGGGCCUCUGCCUGAUGCGGUAGAGGCCUAUCUGCAAGAUAGUACCGUGGCUAGCAUACUGGCUAUGUACUAUACGUUGCACGUGGCGAGACUCAAGGAUAGGGUGGGACUUUUGAGGAUUCUGACUGUUUUGGCCAACUGCAAAGAUGAUAGGGCAUUUGAGGAUCCUUUCUUGCAUUCGUUUGUCUGCCUCCUGAUCCACAACGGCGACGAAUUCCAAGCAGAAGACUUCUGCACGGCUCUCUUCGAUGAAUUCUUCUUUGCCGGCCUGUCUCGAGACAACGUUACUCGACACCUGCUGAAACUGCUGUGGUACGUCCACCAAAAACUACCUGCUAGCAGACUGCACACGCUGAUGAAGGCCCUCCAGCCGACUCACCAGCAUAGCGAGAAAGUCCACAACCUUUACAAGCUGCUGCAGGACAAGAUUGUGUCUCAAGAGGAAGCGGCAAUCCCAGUCGAGAUGGACAUCGACAUCAAUUCGCCUCUGAUGAGCGUUCCGACGCCUGCCCCUUACCACCACACUCUGUAAUUAUGAGCUAGGGUGUGGAGAAGAAUUAUGGAACGGUUCGUAUUGAAGUCACAAACAUUGAUCUUCCUUGGGAAAUUCAAAAUGCAUUCUGGCAUUAAUAAGAUCCUUAUUUCUCUUGCAGAGAGGGAACAAUUGAAAAUGCUUACCGAAAUUGCUUUACUAUGAACUCAAAUAUUUCAUGAAAAGAUGUACAUACGAAAUAAAAAAUUUUGAACUACCUA